RNAcentral lists this ribosomal RNA (292 nucleotides) under uncultured bacterium. RNAcentral's name for it is "partial 16S ribosomal RNA". It matches the Rfam family "Bacterial small subunit ribosomal RNA", at positions 505 to 796 of the family's 1533-position model. The record is from RNAcentral.
GUGCCAGCCGCCGCGGUAAUACGUAGGUGGCAAGCGUUGUCCGGAUUUAUUGGGUUUAAAGGGUGCGUAGGCGGUCUAUUAAGUCAGUUGUGAAAUACGGCAGCUCAACUGUCGAGGUGCAAUUGAUACUGAUGGACUUGAGUACUGAUGAGGUAAGCGGAAUGGACGGUGUAGCGGUGAAAUGCUUAGAUAUCGUCCAGAACACCGAUAGCGAAGGCAGCUUACUAAGGAGUAACUGACGCUGAGGCACGAAAGUGUGGGGAUCAAACAGGAUUAGAUACCCGCGUAGUCC